GAGCCAAUGUUCGUUAGUGAU
This 21-nucleotide microRNA is filed under the name Spodoptera frugiperda (fall armyworm). RNAcentral describes it as "sfr-miR-10460-5p". Lineage: Eukaryota; Metazoa; Arthropoda; Insecta; Lepidoptera; Noctuidae. The record is from miRBase by way of RNAcentral.